ACGGCUCAGUAACACGUAGCUAACCUACCCUUUGGUCAAGGAUAACCUCGGGAAACUGAGGCUAAUACUUGAUAGAAAAUAAUUUCUGGAAUGAUUUAUUUUUCAAAUUCGAGCCAAAGAAUGGGGCUGCGGCUGAUUAGGUAGUUGUUGGUGUAAAAGACUAACAAGCCGAUGAUCAGUAAGGGCUCUUAGCGGAGAAGCCCUGAGAAGGAAUCUGAGACACUAUUCCUAGCUCUACGGGGUGCAGCAGUCGAGGAAAUUUUACAAUGCUCGAAAGAGUGAUAAAAUAAACCAGAGUGUUUCUUUUAAAGAAACUUUUGUCAGUUGUAAAAAGACUGGCGAAUAAGGACUGGGCAAGACCGGUGCCAGCCGCCGCGGUAAUACCGGCGGUCCAAGUCGUAUCCACAUUUAUUUGGUCUAAAACAUUCGUAGCUUGUUUGAUAAGUCUCUUGUGAAAUCUGAUAUCUUAAAUAUCAGGCGUGCAAGAGAUACUAUCUUACUAGAGACCGGAAGACGCAAAGAGUAUUGUUGAGGUAGCGGUAAAAUGUGUUAAUCUCAAUUAGACUAACAAUGGCGAAGGCACUUUGCGAGUACGGAUCUGACAGUGAGGGAUGAAGGCUAGGGGCGCAAAAGGGAUUAGAUACCCCUGUAGUCCUAGCAGUAAACACUGCUCACUAAACAUUAGUACCUCCUCGAGAGGUAUUGGUGCUGUAGAGAAGUCGAAGAGUGAGCUACCUGGGAAGUAUAGUCGCAAGACCGAAACUUAAAGGAAUUGGCGGGGGAGCAC
Molecule: ribosomal RNA, 787 nt
Filed under: uncultured euryarchaeote
Lineage: Archaea; Methanobacteriati; Methanobacteriota
Description: bacterial SSU rRNA
Rfam family: Archaeal small subunit ribosomal RNA
Source: RNAcentral